GCCCAGCUAGCUCAGUCGGUAGAGCAUGAGACUCUUAAUCUCAGGGUCAUGGGUGAAAGGCUGUGUUGGCUG
RNAcentral lists this transfer RNA (72 nucleotides) under Antrostomus carolinensis (chuck-will's-widow). RNAcentral's name for it is "Caprimulgus carolinensis (chuck-will's-widow) tRNA". It matches the Rfam family "tRNA". From Rfam's summary of the family: Transfer RNA (tRNA) molecules are approximately 80 nucleotides in length. The record is from Rfam by way of RNAcentral. Lineage: Eukaryota; Metazoa; Chordata; Aves; Caprimulgiformes; Caprimulgidae.